AUCUAGCUAACGAGUCCCAAAGAGAACGAAACACGCGUCUUGUAU
Molecule: non-coding RNA, 45 nt
Organism: Schistosoma haematobium
Lineage: Eukaryota; Metazoa; Platyhelminthes; Trematoda; Strigeidida; Schistosomatidae
Source: Rfam